Molecule: non-coding RNA, 632 nt
Organism: Ictidomys tridecemlineatus (thirteen-lined ground squirrel)
Lineage: Eukaryota; Metazoa; Chordata; Mammalia; Rodentia; Sciuridae
Source: RefSeq, a predicted model, not a curated record
GGGCUCUAUGACAUCAUCAGUCUUGGAAACUUCACUCAAGUGUUCCUAAUCCUUCCGCCUAUCGUCCUUUAAUUCCUAGAAAGUGCCAACUUUAAUGGUUAUGGUCCCACCUACCUGCCAACUGGGGACCUGACCCACGGGCAGGAGGCUGACAGGGUUCCACUCCCAGGUUGCUGACGGGAGCCACUAACGUCCUUCAGUGCACCUGCUCAUUGCAUUGGCCUCUGGACCAGGGUUGCUGAUCCUCUCUAUGUGGAACAUGGGAUGCUCUUUAAAGCUCCAUGCAGGAAAUUCAAUGGUUCGCCAGAAAGGAAGUUCCGUAAGUGACACUAUUCUUCUGGUCCCGAGGGAAUGCUUUCCAUACUGACAUCCGAUGGCUCAGCUGUGCUUUGGCAGACUUGAGUGUACCCCUCUGCUCUCUUCCUUUCCCGUGCCAGUGCUGUGUGUAGAAAGCGGUGAAGCAGAAGGAUGAACACCUAGUUGGAGAAUAUUUUGCAACCUGUCUUUAUUUUCUUCCAUUUGGGACAAAUAGACAAAGGCGCUCUCCCUAGAAAAGGCACUUGACUCUCAGUGGAAGACGAGCAUGGGUUAUUAUUUGCUCUUGAUUGGAUUAAAGCACCUCCUCAUCCAAC